RNAcentral lists this long non-coding RNA (672 nucleotides) under Monodelphis domestica (gray short-tailed opossum). RNAcentral describes it as "lncRNA (ENSMODG00000042407.1)". The record is from RNAcentral. Lineage: Eukaryota; Metazoa; Chordata; Mammalia; Didelphimorphia; Didelphidae.
AACUCUGCACUAAGAGGCCAAAAUGAGCUCUGCUUUUUAUACUCUGAUCUAGUUCAGUCUCCACACUUUACAAAUAAAGAAACCAACGACUGGAGAGGGGACGACUACAGCUGAAGUUAACAGACAUUCCACACCAAUGUCUAAUAUGAAUCUAGUGUGAAGUGCCAGCCAGAGAAGCUAAUGUGAUCUUGAGCUGCAUGAAGAGAGGCAUAGCUUCCAGGAAUAAGGAGAUGACAGUCCCUCUUUACUCUGCCCUGGCAAUGAAGAGGAGACUCAAUCCAACAAGCAUCUCUUCCUGCCAUGGACUCUCGUGCUAGGCACCAGGGAUACAAAUAACGAAGGACGAAACAAUCUCUGAGCUCCAGGAGCUCAUAGUCCAAUGGAGAGAGAACAAAUGCAUAUUGUGAACAUGAUUCUACUCUCCUUAAUCCUUUUGGGAGAAGAAGAAGGGAGCUGGCAGCACCCAGGGAAUUUCAAGGUGGCAUCAGGGAACUCUUUUUCACCAAAACAAAAGAAGGCAUAAAAAUAUCCUGCCUGUAAGAAGAUGAUGAAUUUGUUACUUUUCCUCAGUAUGAGGUAAGGAUUAGAGACCUGAAAUCCUCAGACAAAAGGUAACCUCAUGAGAUGGGGGGAUCUUAAGCUUUUCCUUUCCCCUCACUCACUGCACUGAGC